This 1332-nucleotide ribosomal RNA is filed under the name Leuconostoc citreum. RNAcentral's name for it is "bacterial SSU rRNA". It matches the Rfam family "Bacterial small subunit ribosomal RNA", at positions 119 to 1439 of the family's 1533-position model. Lineage: Bacteria; Bacillati; Bacillota; Bacilli; Lactobacillales; Lactobacillaceae. The record is from RNAcentral.
GGAUAACCUGCCUCAAGGCUGGGGAUAACAUUUGGAAACAGAUGCUAAUACCGAAUAAAACUUAGUAUCGCAUGAUAUCAAGUUAAAAGGCGCUACGGCGUCACCUAGAGAUGGAUCCGCGGUGCAUUAGUUAGUUGGUGGGGUAAAGGCUUACCAAGACGAUGAUGCAUAGCCGAGUUGAGAGACUGAUCGGCCACAUUGGGACUGAGACACGGCCCAAACUCCUACGGGAGGCUGCAGUAGGGAAUCUUCCACAAUGGGCGCAAGCCUGAUGGAGCAACGCCGCGUGUGUGAUGAAGGCUUUCGGGUCGUAAAGCACUGUUGUAUGGGAAGAAAUGCUAAAAUAGGGAAUGAUUUUAGUUUGACGGUACCAUACCAGAAAGGGACGGCUAAAUACGUGCCAGCAGCCGCGGUAAUACGUAUGUCCCGAGCGUUAUCCGGAUUUAUUGGGCGUAAAGCGAGCGCAGACGGUUGAUUAAGUCUGAUGUGAAAGCCCGGAGCUCAACUCCGGAAUGGCAUUGGAAACUGGUUAACUUGAGUGUUGUAGAGGUAAGUGGAACUCCAUGUGUAGCGGUGGAAUGCGUAGAUAUAUGGAAGAACACCAGUGGCGAAGGCGGCUUACUGGACAACAACUGACGUUGAGGCUCGAAAGUGUGGGUAGCAAACAGGAUUAGAUACCCUGGUAGUCCACACCGUAAACGAUGAAUACUAGGUGUUAGGAGGUUUCCGCCUCUUAGUGCCGAAGCUAACGCAUUAAGUAUUCCGCCUGGGGAGUACGACCGCAAGGUUGAAACUCAAAGGAAUUGACGGGGACCCGCACAAGCGGUGGAGCAUGUGGUUUAAUUCGAAGCAACGCGAAGAACCUUACCAGGUCUUGACAUCCUUUGAAGCUUUUAGAGAUAGAAGUGUUCUCUUCGGAGACAAAGUGACAGGUGGUGCAUGGUCGUCGUCAGCUCGUGUCGUGAGAUGUUGGGUUAAGUCCCGCAACGAGCGCAACCCUUAUUGUUAGUUGCCAGCAUUCAGUUGGGCACUCUAGCGAGACUGCCGGUGACAAACCGGAGGAAGGCGGGGACGACGUCAGAUCAUCAUGCCCCUUAUGACCUGGGCUACACACGUGCUACAAUGGCGUAUACAACGAGUUGCCAACCUGCGAAGGUGAGCUAAUCUCUUAAAGUACGUCUCAGUUCGGACUGCAGUCUGCAACUCGACUGCACGAAGUCGGAAUCGCUAGUAAUCGCGGAUCAGCACGCCGCGGUGAAUACGUUCCCGGGUCUUGUACACACCGCCCGUCACACCAUGGGAGUUUGUAAUGCCCAAAGCCGGUGGCCUAAC